GACGAACGCUGGCGGCGUGCCUAAUACAUGCAAGUAGAACGCUGAAGGAGGAGCUUGCUUCUCUGGAUGAGUUGCGAACGGGUGAGUAACGCGUAGGUAACCUGCCUGGUAGCGGGGGAUAACUAUUGGAAACGAUAGCUAAUACCGCAUAAGAGUAGAUGUUGCAUGACAUUUGCUUAAAAGGUGCAAUCGCAUCACUACCAGAUGGACCUGCGUUGUAUUAGCUAGUUGGUGAGGUAACGGCUCACCAAGGCAACGAUACAUAGCCGACCUGAGAGGGUGAUCGGCCACACUGGGACUGAGACACGGCCCAGACUCCUACGGGAGGCAGCAGUAGGGAAUCUUCGGCAAUGGACGGAAGUCUGACCGAGCAACGCCGCGUGAGUGAAGAAGGUUUUCGGAUCGUAAAGCUCUGUUGUAAGAGAAGAACGAGUGUGAGAGUGGA
RNAcentral lists this ribosomal RNA (445 nucleotides) under Streptococcus mitis. Its description in RNAcentral is "bacterial SSU rRNA". It matches the Rfam family "Bacterial small subunit ribosomal RNA", at positions 28 to 465 of the family's 1533-position model. The record is from RNAcentral. Lineage: Bacteria; Bacillati; Bacillota; Bacilli; Lactobacillales; Streptococcaceae.